Molecule: ribosomal RNA, 251 nt
Filed under: uncultured bacterium
Lineage: Bacteria
Description: partial 16S ribosomal RNA
Rfam family: Bacterial small subunit ribosomal RNA
Source: RNAcentral
GAUCAUGGCUCAGGACGAACGCUGGCGGCGUGCCUAAUACAUGCAAGUCGAACGCUUCUUUUUCCAUCGGAGCUUGCUCCACCGGAAAAAGAGGAGUGGCGAACGGGUGAGUAACACGUGGGUAACCUGCCCAUCAGAAGGGGAUAACACUUGGAAACAGGUGCUAAUACCGUAUAACAAUCGAAACCGCAUGGUUUUGAUUUGAAAGGCGCUUUCGGUGUCGCUGAUGGAUGGACCCGCCGGUGCAUUAG